Molecule: small nuclear RNA, 103 nt
Organism: Trachemys scripta elegans
Lineage: Eukaryota; Metazoa; Chordata; Testudines; Emydidae
Source: RefSeq, a predicted model, not a curated record
UUAGCACUCCCCUUGAUAAGGAUGGAAGAGGUCCUAGUGACUUACAACACACAUAUGGUUAAGGCAUUGCCACUUACUUUGUGGCAUCUAAUACUGUUAGUGU